This 216-nucleotide ribosomal RNA is filed under the name Glomeromycotina sp. RNAcentral describes it as "partial small subunit ribosomal RNA". The stretch from base 40 to 216 matches the Rfam family "Eukaryotic small subunit ribosomal RNA", at positions 686 to 864 of the family's 1831-position model. The record is from RNAcentral. Lineage: Eukaryota; Fungi; Glomeromycota.
GGGCCAGUGGGUUGGUCGUGCCACCGGUACGUACUGGUCUCACUGAUUCCUCCUUCCUGAAGAACCGUAAUGCCAUUAAUUUGGUGUUGCGGGGAAACAGGACUGUUACUUUGAAAAAAUUAGAGUGUUUAAAGCAAGCUAACGCUUGAAUACAUUAGCAUGGAAUAAUGAAAUAGGACGAUCGAUCCUAUUUUGUUGGUUUCUAGGAUUGACGUA